Molecule: long non-coding RNA, 766 nt
Organism: Bombus terrestris (buff-tailed bumblebee)
Lineage: Eukaryota; Metazoa; Arthropoda; Insecta; Hymenoptera; Apidae
Exons: 3
Source: RefSeq, a predicted model, not a curated record
AUAAAGAAUUGACUAGCUAAAAAUCCGAGCAUUUCGAAAUUACAGGUCUCGGAAAUUCAUUUACAAAAUAAGAUCUGAUGCAUUUCUGCAAGCAGAGAAACGAUGAGCAAAUGUGUGAUUAAAUUUGUUUUUUCCACCAAAAAUCUAACUAUUUGGAUAAAAAAUCAUAGUUAAUUUCUAGUGGGACUUACCGUCGGAGUAUAUGGGGCUUCCACCAUGCCUGCAGGCAGUGCAUCCAGGUAUAGCGGAUGAAACUAAUGCCACGCGAUCUGCAAUCAAAGGCAUCAAUAAUAUAUGCACUAUUACAUUAUACCAAUGUUUUACGAUCCGUUGAAAUGGAUAAAACAUGACGAACACGCUGAUACUGUGCGAAGUGAUCGAAACGGAACGACGUUUAAGCGAGCUACAAGAAACGGUGGAUGCGUGCAUGAAAACGCAGGUGAAAUUUGCUCGUUUGAUAAAAGAAACAUAGUGAAAUCAGCACGACGCUCAAUUUCAACAUUUGGAAAGUAUCAUUCGUAAAGUAAACAAAAAAAAAAAGGCGAAGUAAUACGAAAUUUCUUGCUAUAAUAAGACUUUACGAUAUGGAUUUUGGCUAAAUACUCGUGAUUUUUGUUUUUCUUAAUUAACGACGUUAUUAACAGAUUCUGUACGCCGAGGAGGCGUUAAUAAAUAGCUUAGCGGUAACGCUUUAAUUGGUGAAAAUGUCUUCAAUUACAUACACGUAACAAGCCAAAGAGUACACAACUAUGAACGUACCGCCGCU